Musa acuminata AAA Group (dessert banana) is the source of this 1159-nucleotide long non-coding RNA. RefSeq lists it as uncharacterized. The transcript has 3 exons. The record is from RefSeq and is a predicted model, not a curated record. Lineage: Eukaryota; Viridiplantae; Streptophyta; Magnoliopsida; Zingiberales; Musaceae.
CGCUCGUCCUUCUGCAGGGAGGGAGCGGAAAGGAGCGGAAGACCUCCAAGCACCGAAAGAAAACCCAUUUCGAUCAACUGCGUCUCUUCCGGAUCGAGAUUGCAAGAUUCCUCGCUGGUUCAUUUAGAGAAGAGAAGUGAGAUAGAGAGAAGCAGAGACCUUAAUGAUCGAUGGCACCACUCCAGGGGUCGCCACCGUCGCGAGAUUCUCCACCACCAUCGGUCGAUUGGUCGCUCGUUCUUUUGGAGAUGGAAGAAGACGAAGGCCUCCAAGAAUCGGAAGGAAACCCGCAACGAUCAAUUGCAGCGUUCCGGGGAUUUCCGCAACGUUCGCCACGGCCGUCCAUAAGAAGGAAGAUUUUUCGCUCGAUCUUCUGUGAAUACGGAUAAGGGGAGACUAAGACCUCCAAGAACCCAAAGAAAGCCCUCGAUAUGAUCGAGUGCACCACUCCAGGGUCGAGAUCGUCUCAACAUUCAUCGCCAUCAACGAUGAAUGGAUUUCAAACUGGGUUGCUUAGUGUAUGCUUCACAAGCAUGGUAGCUCUCCAUGCAGGGUGAAAUCUGACUAGAGCUGACUAGCACUACUAGCCUUUAAAGCUUCACUUGACUUCCACAAGUCAUUUCCUGAUGACAUAUUCUUCUCAUAAUGUUGGAUUGCAUCGUUAUGGUGGUGUGCAAUAUCAUCAUGCAAUGGCAAAAUUUCAUCUUAUUGUUGGAGGUGUCAAGUGUACUCCAAAUCAUCUGGAUUCCUCCACCUUGUUAGAAGUGUUACUACCUACAUCGUGGUAGGCAAAGGGCUCGAAUCUGGAUGGAGAAGAGAAACAAAAAAAAUGUCCUCCAAUUACCAAGCAGACUGAGAUACUCAUGAUGGAACAGACUACUUAUUGGAAUUAAACUUGUCAAGAUAUCAUAAAGAGGUUUAUUGUAUUAGGAGGCGAAACACAUUAAAUGCCUAUAGAAAGAUAAACCAAAUUGACUAUUGGUUCUUAAAAGAGUCUCUCGGAAAAGAGUGAUUCAUAUUAAAUAUAAUGAAUGCAAUGUAUCUAUGGGAAUUGUAAAAACCCCUUGUGUUGGGUCAUGAAACAUAGAGAGUUUUUGAAGUUAUAUAAAGUUUUUGAAGUUGUAGAGAGUUUUUGAGUUAAACAUAAAAUAUUUUGUCU